Molecule: ribosomal RNA, 207 nt
Filed under: uncultured delta proteobacterium
Lineage: Bacteria; Deltaproteobacteria
Description: partial 16S ribosomal RNA
Rfam family: Bacterial small subunit ribosomal RNA
Source: RNAcentral
CGUGUAGGCGGUCUCGCAAGUCGGAUGUGAAAGCCCUCGGCUUAACCGAGGAAGUGCGUUCGAAACUACGAGACUUGAGUACCGGAGAGGGUGGCGGAAUUCCCGGUGUAGAGGUGAAAUUCGUAGAUAUCGGGAGGAACACCAGUGGCGAAGGCGGCCACCUGGACGGUCACUGACGCCGAGACGCGAAAGCGUGGGGAGCAAACA